GACGAACGCUGGCGGCGUGCUUAACACAUGCAAGUCGAACGGGAUCCAUACGUUGGAGUCUUCGGACGAAGAUGUAUGGUGAGAGUGGCGGACGGGCGAGUAACGCGUGAGCAACCUGCCCUAUGCAGGGGGAUAACACCGGGAAACCGGUGCUAAUACCGCAUAAGACCACACUGGCACAUGUCAGAGUGGUAAAAGCUCCGGCGGCAUAGGAUGGGCUCGCGUCCAAUUAGCUUGUUGGUAGGGUAACGGCCUACCAAGGCGACGAUUGGUAGCCGAACUGAGAGGUUGGUCGGCCGCAUUGGGACUGAGACACGGCCCAGACUCCUACGGGAGGCAGCAGUGGGGAAUAUUGCGCAAUGGGGGAAACCCUGACGCAGCGACGCCGCGUGAAGGAAGAAGGCCUUCGGGUUGUAAACGUUUACCUUUGGUCGGGGUACGAAGAUGACGGUACCCGAAUAACAACGCCACGGCUAACUACGUGCCAGCAGCCGCGUAAAAGUACUCUAU
RNAcentral lists this ribosomal RNA (510 nucleotides) under uncultured bacterium. Its description in RNAcentral is "bacterial SSU rRNA". It matches the Rfam family "Bacterial small subunit ribosomal RNA", at positions 28 to 530 of the family's 1533-position model. The record is from RNAcentral.